This 468-nucleotide ribosomal RNA is filed under the name uncultured bacterium. RNAcentral's name for it is "partial 16S ribosomal RNA". It matches the Rfam family "Bacterial small subunit ribosomal RNA", at positions 28 to 507 of the family's 1533-position model. The record is from RNAcentral.
GACGAACGCUGGCGGCGUGCUUAACACAUGCAAGUCGAACGGAAAGGCCCUGCUUUUGUGGGGUGCUCGAGUGGCGAACGGGUGAGUAACACGUGAGUAACCUGCCCUUGACUUUGGGAUAACUUCAGGAAACUGGGGCUAAUACCGGAUAGGAGCUCCUGCUGCAUGGUGGGGGUUGGAAAGUUUCGGCGGUUGGGGAUGGACUCGCGGCUUAUCAACUUUUUGGUGGGGUAGUGGCUUACCAAGGCUUUGACGGGUAGCCGGCCUGAGAGGGUGACCGGCCACAUUGGGACUGAGAUACGGCCCAGACUCCUACGGGAGGCAGCAGUGGGGAAUAUUGCACAAUGGGCGGAAGCCUGAUGCAGCAACGCCGCGUGCGGGAUGACGGCCUUCGGGCUGUAAACCGCUUUCGCCUGUGACGAAGCGUGAGUGACGGUAAUGGGUAAAGAAGCACCGGCUAACUACGUG